Molecule: ribosomal RNA, 529 nt
Filed under: uncultured bacterium
Lineage: Bacteria
Description: partial 16S ribosomal RNA
Rfam family: Bacterial small subunit ribosomal RNA
Source: RNAcentral
UGGGGAAUAUUGGACAAUGGGGGCAACCCUGAUCCAGCCAUGCCGCGUGAGUGAUGAAGGCCCUAGGGUUGUAAAGCUCUUUUGUGCGGGAAGAUAAUGACGGUACCGCAAGAAUAAGCCCCGGCUAACUUCGUGCCAGCAGCCGCGGUAAUACGAAGGGGGCUAGCGUUGCUCGGAAUCACUGGGCGUAAAGGGUGCGUAGGCGGGUUUCUAAGUCAGAGGUGAAAGCCUGGAGCUCAACUCCAGAACUGCCUUUGAUACUGGAAGUCUUGAGUAUGGCAGAGGUGAGUGGAACUGCGAGUGUAGAGGUGAAAUUCGUAGAUAUUCGCAAGAACACCAGUGGCGAAGGCGGCUCACUGGGCCAUUACUGACGCUGAGGCACGAAAGCGUGUGGAGCAAACAGGAUUAGAUACCCUGGUAGUCCACGCCGUAAACGAUGAAUGCCAGCCGUUAGUGGGUCUACUCACUAGUGGCGCAGCUAACGCUUUAAGCAUUCCGCCUGGGGAGUACGGUCGCAAGAUUAAAACUU